GUGGUCAUAAUUGAAAAAGCCAAGAACACUGAAUUGCUGAAAGUCCAUUGAGGCUUUCGAGCUUCUGUAGCAUCGGCCAACUCUUUUUCAAAAGCAGUGAAAAGUUUGCGAAGAUCCUUUGCAGAAAUGUUAUAUUUAGAGAGGCCAUUUCUUCUUAUAAGCUCCUUCAAGCAUCCCGACUUUGCAAGAACGCUUGCCGAACUGAUUUAUGCAAACAGUGUGCUUCCCACGCCAUGCCAGCAAGCGAAAUAAAGAGAUCCAAGAAACGUGCUAUCUAGUCGAGAGGCAACGAGGUAUAGCGUGGUAGAAAAGUGCUUCAGUGCAUCAAAACACGACGGAAUCCUCCUAUUUAUAAAGUUCGAGCCAAUCCAAAUGAGUUCGGCGGUAAAAGACCGCGAUAAAAUACGUGACAUAACUAGAAAGACUACAGGCAAGCUGUAGAAAAACCAGAUGGUCUGCGUAGGCGAGGUGUAGACAAGGUAUAAAUCAAUACAAGGUUGAAAGGGUAUGUUAAACGUCUCUGUGAAACCACUCUGUUUAACAUACCUUUUCAACCUAGUGUUGAUUUAUACAAUGGGAUACUUAAAUUUGCGUUUUGGUAUAAGGGAUAAUUUUGGCUUACCGAUGAAUAAUUUAUGGCGUGCAGGUAUUUUUAGAGGUAGUUUUCGAAUUCCCCGACAAGCAUCGCUUUUACCCUGCGGACAGGCGACUGACCACAGGGUACCCGCGCGGUGACCACAAAAACUAAGGCGUCGUAGUUAUAUCAUAUUUACAUCCUACGGAGCUGCUGCUCCAUUAUCAAAAUAAGAAUGGCGUUAUGAUAAAAUUUUAGGGAUUGAAGGAAAAUUAAAGCCUUU
Nematostella vectensis (starlet sea anemone) is the source of this 857-nucleotide long non-coding RNA. RefSeq lists it as uncharacterized. NCBI's taxonomy places the organism in Eukaryota, Metazoa, Cnidaria, Anthozoa, Actiniaria, Edwardsiidae. The transcript is spliced from 3 exons. The record is from RefSeq and is a predicted model, not a curated record.